AUUGAACGCUGGCGGCGGGCCUAACACAUGCAAGUCGAGCGGAUGAAGGGAGCUUGCUCCUGGAUUCAGCGGCGGACGGGUGAGUAAUGCCUAGGAAUCUGCCUGGUAGUGGGGGAUAACAUCCGGAAACAGGCGCUGAUACCGCCUACGUCCUGCGGGAGCAAGUGGGGGGUCUUCGGACAUCUCGCUCUCAGAUGAGCCUAGGUCGGGUUAGCUAGUUGGUGGGGUAAAGGCCUACCAAGGCGACGAGUCGUAACUGGCCUGAGUGGAGGAUCAGUCACACGGGAACGUGGACAGGGUCCAGACGCCUACGGGAGGGAGCAGUGGGGAAUAUUGGACAAUGGGCGAAAGCCUUAUCCAGCCAUGCCGAGUGUGUGAAGAAGGUCUUCGGAGUGGAAAGCACGUUAAGUUGGGAGGAAGGGCAGUAAGUUAAUACCUUGCUGUUUUGACGUUACCAACAGAAUAAGCACCGGCUAACUUCGUG
Molecule: ribosomal RNA, 484 nt
Filed under: uncultured bacterium
Lineage: Bacteria
Description: partial 16S ribosomal RNA
Rfam family: Bacterial small subunit ribosomal RNA
Source: RNAcentral